GGAAGCGCGUUGCGUCUCCACAGAGCGUGGCUCUCUCACGAGCGCAAAUGCUUUCGUCACCAAGUCACCUUGGCAGUGGAGUCGUGCUCAGUGGCAGAAACAGAACUCAGCAUCAAGGCUCAGUCGUGUUGGGACACCACAGCAACAGACACCAUUUUGCACCUUCGGCACAGGUACGCGAGAAGCCGAGACCCGCCCCCCGGCCACGCACCCUCCCACCCGGCAGUACUCCACAGCCCAGCUCAGCCCCCAGAGCCGCCAGGCCCCCCGGCGAGAAAGGU
Anguilla rostrata (American eel) is the source of this 281-nucleotide long non-coding RNA. RefSeq lists it as uncharacterized. Lineage: Eukaryota; Metazoa; Chordata; Actinopteri; Anguilliformes; Anguillidae. The transcript has 3 exons. The record is from RefSeq and is a predicted model, not a curated record.